Molecule: long non-coding RNA, 411 nt
Filed under: Struthio camelus australis
Lineage: Eukaryota; Metazoa; Chordata; Aves; Struthioniformes; Struthionidae
Description: lncRNA (ENSSCUG00000011706.1)
Source: RNAcentral
AGCAGGGUUGGCUUUUCCCAGAGUCUGCAAGAUUUUCAGUGUGUCCCCGAGAGGGGUUGGAGUUUUUUUCUUCCCUUUUUAAGCUCCAUCUCAGUCUUUGGAGAGGCUUCAGAGGAAGAAGCAAUCUGAAAUACGUUACGCGUGCAUGGCUUGAUGAAUUUCAGAUGCUCGCCUUUCAUUUUGUCUCUCACUGACAAGAUGAAUGGCUCUCCAGGCUGCGUGCUGACUCCAGGAGCUGAGGAGGAGUCUCUUCUCAAAGAGGAGGAAAAUGCUGUACGCCCAGAUCCUUGUUGUGGCAGUGGCCAUGGCACAGUACAGAGCUGUGGCCGUACAUGAAGUGUGCGGGACAGCAGAGGUAGCAGAUAUUGUGUUCCUUGUGGGGCAGUCCCAGAGCACCGAGACAGAGAGCAC